Molecule: RNA transcript, 3058 nt
Organism: Lagenorhynchus albirostris (white-beaked dolphin)
Lineage: Eukaryota; Metazoa; Chordata; Mammalia; Artiodactyla; Delphinidae
Gene: TMEM140
Gene name: transmembrane protein 140
Exons: 3
Source: RefSeq, a predicted model, not a curated record
UAAGACGACAAGGUUUUGUGUCCAGGGAUACCCAGUUAUCCUACAAGGCUGAUUUCCGAAAAGGAGGGGACAGAUGCAUAACUUCUUCCCCAGUGGUGACCUCGGUCUGGGAUCUCAGACCAGAUGAUCUUGAGGGUCCCUUCUUAGUAAGAUUCUAGGUUGUAUUUAUCUUGGUUUAAAACAUUAGGAGUUUUGAGAGUGUCUUGGCCAGUUUCCUUUCUGGAAUUGUGGUGUGAUAUAAUCAAGACACUUGCCUGCCUCUUUAAGUCUAUUGGUUGGUUGGUUCAGGUGUGGGUAAAGUGGCCAGUUUGAGGAACAACAAUGUUGUUUACAUUCUUUCUUUCUGAAAAGUCAGGAGCCACCGGCAAGAAAUGAAAGUGAAAUCAGGGGAUAGUGUCAUCAGUCAGCACAAAUGUGACAAAGUUCAGAGAGCUGUUUACUUAGGCACAACUGCGCCUGCCAGCCAGUCAUAAGCUCGGGGCUUAUGCUCGGGGCUGCAUCGUUCCAGUCUCCACCGGCCUCGUUUCUAGAACCUGACAUUAGGACGCAGCGAGAGAGAAGAAUCAAGCGAACAUGAUUUCCUGCUCCUCCUCUUUAUGAGUGUUUUGUGGGUUCUGCAUCUUCUUUUUGAGUGCAAGCUCAAGGAAGGCAAGCCCCUGCUUUGCCCCGCAUGUUACUGAUUCCCCAGGGCCUGUGACUCAGGGAAUCGUCCAACAUGUAUGAUCGCUGGAGUCACAAGAGGAAACCCUGGCCUCAUCAGUAGAAGGGGGGGCAGUGGCUCUCCAGGAGCCACACCCAAACCACAAGCACAGUGAUGGCUCAAUGAGUUCAGCUAGACAGAUUUUCGCCAGGGCUGGAGGCCCCCUCUGACAACCUGGCUCUCUCCUCUGUCAGAUUCUGUUUUUCUGACUUUCUUCUGCUCGUAUUUUCUUCCCUGGGCUUCGCUCCCCCCCAUUCACAUCGCAGCCACGCCCUCCGCCCCUGUCCUGCUCUUCCCUCGUGUCCCCUUUCUCCCCUGGACCACAGCCUCCACCACGGCACCAGAGCAGGCAGCAGUCCACCUGUGCAGAUCAAAUUAACUCACUUCAGUCUCACAACAGCCCCCAGGGACAGGCCCGAAGGCGCGUUAAGGGCGGGGAUGUAGACUCCGGCAAGCUCACUGACAUGCCCAAGGUCACGCGCUAUGAGCGACAGGACAGCAGCCUGAACCCCGGUGGUCUGGCGCUAAGGUCCACGCUCUUCACCACCACAUCCCUCACACCAUCCCGGAGUCGUCCGCGCCAGCCACCAGUGAGGACAGCUUCCUGGAGUCCAGGUUCUCCAGGGAAGCUCUGUUCUGAACUCCAGUACUAGUGUCUCCUCAAGAAUGUCACUUCUCUGAGCCUCAGUUUCCUCUCUAUGAUAAUAAUUUAAGUAACACUAGGUAACGUUCCACAUGCUGCACAUAAAUCACCUCACUUAAUUUCCAUAACAUUUACAAAACAUGCUCUAUUGUUAUACCCAUUUUGCAGAUGAGAAAACUAGGCAGAGAGACAUUCAGGUAGCUAGUAAAUGGUAGAGCAGGGAUUUGAACUCAGGACACACAGCUUCAAAGUCUAAGCUCAAUGUCACCCCCAUACAAGAGGAGAAUAAUGUGAUGUCCACACACUGUGGCCGUGAAGAUUAAAGGGGAUGAUGCACGUGAGGGCCAGACCUCGGGAGACAAGACUCAGGUUCUUACAGUGAUUUCACAAUUCUGCCCAACAGGCCUCACCAGGCUCACUUGGGGAAGUCACUGAGCCUCACUAAGCCUCAGUUUUCUCCUCUGGAAAGUGAAGAUAAUAACAUUAAAUGUGCUCUCAUAGUGAAAACUUAAGAAUACCUGCUAAGUGCUUAGUACAGGGCCUGGCGCAGAGUAAAUGCUCAAAAAGAUUUUGAGGUCAGUAUUUGAUCUUUAAUAAGCCCUCAAUCAAACUAGAUUCUUUCUUAGACACCUCCAGUGAUCAUAAAGACUUCUCAAAGCAAGUUCUGCCCUCCAAGCUCCCCUAUAGCUUUCUUAAGUCAUUAAUGAGAAGGAAGCCCGGGAGAUGAAUUUGUAGCCAACAAACUAGAAACCCAUCCGUUUUUCUUUCAAGCUUCUGUUCCACAAAACUUGCACACUGUGUAGUGUCUGUCAGCAGCAAAAUUAUAACAUCCAAGUUUUGCCAGGUCAUGGCAGCAACUGCUCCUGCUGGUGCAGGGGCGGGGCGGGGCCUCACCACACCUGAGUCCCUCCUUGCAAGGGGCCUCACAGUGUCCAACGCCUGAAGCUAGCUACAGGCUCACAUACAUGUCUGAGAAAGAGGGGACAAGCUUGAGGAAACUUACAUUUAGGAAAUGGGAAGCAUAAAAAACAGAGAAGGAGGAGAACUAGGACAGAGAUUCAGGUCAAAAAAAUAGAAGCAGGUCUUCCCUGGUGGCGCAGUGGUUGAGAGUCCGCCUGCCAAGGCACGGGACGCGGGUUCGUGCCCCGGUCCGGGAAGAUCCCACAUGCCGCGGAGCGGCUGGGCCCGUGAGCCAUGGCCACUGAGCCUGCGCGUCCAGAGCCUGUGCUCCGCAACGGGAGAGGCCACAACAGUGAGAGGCCUGCGUACCGCCAAAAAAAAAAAAAUAGAAGGAAGCAUUUACGAAGCUCUAUGUGCCAUGGCUGACGUUCACGAAACCAUUCAGAGGUCACUCAGUGGAUACUUACUAUGUGCCCAUAAUGUGCCAGGUAGUCCUGGGUGUUGCGGAUGUAACAGUUAAAGGCAGAUUUUGAGAGAGACGGGCAGCCAUAGAUUUUUGUCUGAUUUGCCUAACAGAUAAAAUUCCUUGCCCACAUGAAGUUUACAUUCUACUGAGGGUUGUAGAUGGAAGACAAAAGAAAACAUUUAGCACGUUAGAUGGUGGAAAACGGCAAGGAGGAAGAGCAGGGAAGCAGCACGGGGAGAGCCGUGCCGGUGCCGCGGAAGGGCUGCUGCGGCUUCAAAAUGCCGACCAGGGAUGGCGCCACUGAGAAAGGGACCUUUGAGCAGAGACCCAGGGGAGGCAGACACGUGAU